This is a non-coding RNA of Phrynosoma platyrhinos (Desert horned lizard), 72 nucleotides long. Lineage: Eukaryota; Metazoa; Chordata; Lepidosauria; Squamata; Phrynosomatidae. The record is from the annotation of a GenBank genome assembly.
GUCAGUGUGGUGUAGUGGUUUGAGCACUGCAGUAUUACUCUGGAGACCAGGGUUUGAAUCCCUCCUCAGCCA